AUUUGGAGCAUCAUUUGGAUGUGGUGGAGCGGGUUCCCUCCUAAAAUGUUUUAUGAAAAUGUUAGAAGAAAGUGUUUUACUCUUACCCUUACCCUUGCCUCUAGUGGGAGGGAUUUCCUCCUCAACGUUGUGACGUGCUUGGUCGGCUUCCUCCUCCGCCUCUAGUUGUCGAACUCUACGUGCAUAUUCUUCAUCCUCCGCUUCUUGAAGUUGUCUAGCAUAUGCUUCAUCGGCAGCCUCCCGGCGUGCG
This 250-nucleotide long non-coding RNA is filed under the name Salvia miltiorrhiza (redroot sage). Its description in RNAcentral is "long non-coding RNA (SMIL_LNC012468)". Lineage: Eukaryota; Viridiplantae; Streptophyta; Magnoliopsida; Lamiales; Lamiaceae. The record is from RNAcentral.